RNAcentral lists this ribosomal RNA (273 nucleotides) under uncultured bacterium. RNAcentral describes it as "partial 16S ribosomal RNA". It matches the Rfam family "Bacterial small subunit ribosomal RNA", at positions 524 to 796 of the family's 1533-position model. The record is from RNAcentral.
UACGUAGGGUGCAAGCGUUAAUCGGAAUUACUGGGCGUAAAGGGUGCGCAGGCGGUUCUGUAAGUCAGAUGUGAAAUCCCCGGGCUUAACCUGGGAAUUGCGUUUGAAACUACAGAGCUGGAGUGUAGCAGAGGGGGGUGGAAUUCCAUGUGUAGCAGUGAAAUGCGUAGAGAUAUGGAAGAACAUCGAUGGCGAAGGCAACCCCCUGGGUUAACACUGACGCUCAUGCACGAAAGCGUGGGGAGCAAACAGGAUUAGAAACCCGAGUAGUCC